RNAcentral lists this transfer RNA (85 nucleotides) under Polyangiaceae bacterium. RNAcentral's name for it is "tRNA-Leu". It matches the Rfam family "tRNA". Rfam says of the family: Transfer RNA (tRNA) molecules are approximately 80 nucleotides in length. Their secondary structure includes four short double-helical elements and three loops (D, anti-codon, and T loops). The record is from RNAcentral. RNAcentral also lists the same sequence under 2 other names. Lineage: Bacteria; Pseudomonadati; Myxococcota; Polyangiales; Polyangiaceae.
GCGAAGGUGGCGGAAUUGGCAGACGCACUAGCUUGAGGUGCUAGCGGGUAACACCGUGGGGGUUCAAGUCCCCCCCUUCGCACCA